CAGUCCGUCGGCCAGGCAGAGCGUAGCCGCUGAAAGACCUAAUCCAGCGCCCCCCUGCCCCCCAUCCCCGUCCGGCCAUCCCCAUCCCCAUCCGGCCAUCCCGCCGGGGUCGUCCGCCGGACCGCCGCUCCUUGCCUCCUUCCACCGAGAAGGCGAGAAGAGUCGCCGCUCUGCUCCCCUUCGAGCGCUCCUUGCCUGGCUGGUGGAUCUCCAGCCACCACGAGCCGCUGCCCGCCGGUCGCCGGACGUCCGAACUGCGUAGCCCGGCGGAGAUGAGGAGCUGCUGCCCAAGCUUCUGAAUGGCUCAAUCCCUGCUGAAUUCCUAGUUCGUGACGCCCUUUGGUCUUUGGAACCAAAGAUGAAGAUGAAUGGUGACAUUCAGUCCUUUUUUCGGAAUUAUGAGGCUGCUAAAAGAAAGAAGGUUGCAGCCGAAGAGCAACCUGAAGAUACAGUGUCAAAUAUUGAAGAUGAAGCAGUCCAUAAUCCACCUCCAGUCCAUUCUGCAGAGAUUGAAUUUGAUAUUGAAGAUGAAGCAGUCCAUUCCGAUGCAGAGACUGAAAGUGAUUGUGAAGAUGAAGCAGUCCAUUCUCCGUGUGCAAGGCCAUAUAAUAUUCAAAGGCUUCCUCCUGAUCCAGGGGAGAGGAUUCCUAUUUCAGAGUUUGAUGAGGUUAAUACGGAGUUGCUUAUUUGCAUGUCGGCUUUGAAUCCCCUCAAUUCAUUUGCUUCUUAUGAUGCACUUAAGGUAAUGAGACUUGCUGAAUUCUAUCCCAUGGACAUUUCAAGCACAUAUUUGAUAAGGCUAGAAUUUCAACUUACUAAUUUUAUUGAUGAUAUGAGACAAGAUGAUAGGUUUAGAAAUGCAAGUAAUAUUGGUGAGCUCUCUAUUAUGCUUGUUGCAACAAAGAAGUAUGUUCUUUAUGACUUGGUCUACUUACUCAUCAAAUUGAUAUUGAUUUUACCGGUGGCGACGGCAAGUGUUCAAAGAGUAUUUUCAGCAAUGAAUCUAGUGAAAAAUAAGUUGAGGACUACUAUGGGUGAUGAUCGCUUGAAUGAUUGCUUGGUGACAUUUAUUGAAUGGGAUGUGUUCAUGGAAGUAAGCGAAGAUGACAUAGUUGAUGCUUUCAUGGCAAUGCAAAAACGUAGAGUUACCUAGUGAUGUAGCAACUAGGAAGUGGCAUGGCAUCUGGGAGCGCCACAGCUGGUAGCCAAUCGUCCGUGGGUGAGAGUGAAGGCCGUCUUGGUCCUGGUGCUGUAGAUCCAAGGUAUCCUCUGUGGGCUUAUGUGCAGAAGCUUGUACUAGAAGAAGCAAAUGGUGAUGGUGCAGCUGUUGCCUCUGGUAGCCGUGGAGGAAACGCCAAGUUCCGCUGCAAUUUCUGCAAGAAAAUUUACCCAGGCAGCUAUUCAAGAGUGAAGCCUCAUCUUCUUCAGAUAACAAAGAAAGAUGUAGCUACAUGUGACAAAAUACCACAUGCUGCCUUUGAGCAACUUUGCAAGGAAGAUAGAGCAGCUGCUCAACUCCUUCAAAAUGGUCCAACCAGGCAUACAAUUCCUUUACCCCCCCUAUGAUGCAUCUGCUCCAACAAGAAAGCGAAAGCAAACAGCUAUUGCAGAGAGUUUUAAUGCUGAAGUCCGGCAACAAGCUGAUGCUCAUAUUGCUAGGAUGUUUUACACUGCAGGGCUUCCAUUCAAUCUUGCAAGGAACCCUGACUUUAGGGCAGCCAUGACCUUCAUUGCAAACAACAACUUGGGUGGGUGAGGGAGUCCUGGACUAGGGGGUGUUCGGACAGCCGGACUAUCAUCGUCGGCCGGACUCCAAGAUUAUGAAGAUACAAGAUUGAAGACUUC
Triticum dicoccoides is the source of this 1845-nucleotide RNA transcript. RefSeq lists it as uncharacterized. The record is from RefSeq and is a predicted model, not a curated record. NCBI's taxonomy places the organism in Eukaryota, Viridiplantae, Streptophyta, Magnoliopsida, Poales, Poaceae. The transcript is spliced from 4 exons.